Molecule: ribosomal RNA, 723 nt
Filed under: uncultured Burkholderia sp.
Lineage: Bacteria; Pseudomonadati; Pseudomonadota; Betaproteobacteria; Burkholderiales; Burkholderiaceae
Description: bacterial SSU rRNA
Rfam family: Bacterial small subunit ribosomal RNA
Source: RNAcentral
AUUGAACGCUGGCGGCAUGCCUUACACAUGCAAGUCGAACGGCAGCACGGGGGCAACCCUGGUGGCGAGUGGCGAACGGGUGAGUAAUACAUCGGAACGUGUCCUGUAGUGGGGGAUAGCCCGGCGAAAGCCGGAUUAAUACCGCAUACGCUCUACGGAGGAAAGGGGGGGAUCUUAGGACCUCCCGCUACAGGGGCGGCCGAUGGCAGAUUAGCUAGUUGGUGGGGUAAAGGCCUACCAAGGCGACGAUCUGUAGCUGGUCUGAGAGGACGACCAGCCACACUGGGACUGAGACACGGCCCAGACUCCUACGGGAGGCAGCAGUGGGGAAUUUUGGACAAUGGGGGCAACCCUGAUCCAGCAAUGCCGCGUGUGUGAAGAAGGCCUUCGGGUUGUAAAGCACUUUUGUCCGGAAAGAAAACGCCGUGGUUAAUACCCGUGGCGGAUGACGGUACCGGAAGAAUAAGCACCGGCUAACUACGUGCCAGCAGCCGCGGUAAUACGUAGGGUGCAAGCGUUAAUCGGAAUUACUGGGCGUAAAGCGUGCGCAGGCGGUCCGCUAAGACAGAUGUGAAAUCCCCGGGCUUAACCUGGGAACUGCAUUUGUGACUGGCGGGCUAGAGUAUGGCAGAGGGGGGUAGAAUUCCACGUGUAGCAGUGAAAUGCGUAGAGAUGUGGAGGAAUACCGAUGGCGAAGGCAGCCCCCUGGGCCAAUACUGACGG